Molecule: long non-coding RNA, 2222 nt
Filed under: Sorghum bicolor (sorghum)
Lineage: Eukaryota; Viridiplantae; Streptophyta; Magnoliopsida; Poales; Poaceae
Description: long non-coding RNA (SBIC_LNC003820)
Source: RNAcentral
UAUAUAUAUAAAGAGCGAAAAUUUCAGUUUGCCAAAUAUUUUCUUCUGCCUCACGUUUCUAGAAGGGCAAAAAUAAAAUAAAAAACAUUCUAGAGUUCCUAAUGCAAAAUCUUAUAUUAGUCCGCUCUCGCCUCUGUAGGCCCUAUCAGCCCAGCGAUGGAAGGUAGAAAAAAAAUAAAAAAUUUUCUAGAGUUCCCAAUAUAAAAUCUUCAAUUUACUUUUAUUUUAUUUUUUAAAUCGGCUGAGAAUUAAUAAAUACAUAGUAAUUCAUUUAUUUUAUUUUUUAAAUCGGCUGAGAAUUAAUAAAUACAUAGUAAUUCAUAGAAAAAUCUAAAAAUUAUAAAACAAAUUUUGUUCAGCUCUACAUAUGUAGAUCCAUGCAGUAAAUAAAAAAUAUCACAAAUUUUAGUACACUUUUUUUGAAAAUGCUUGCCUAUGCUUUUUACUCUAAAAUUAAAAUUGUAGUUAUCUUGCUCCAAUUAUUAUAAAAAUUUAAUGGUAGCCUAUUUAAUGUGAUGCUUGAUUCAUAUUUCAUAGCAAUCCUAAUCUAAAUUAAAAAAAUAAUGCUAGCAUCAAACUUCUCAUGUUUUAAUAUAAUACUGAGGCAUAUUAAGAGGUAAUAUUAGAGUGAGAUAAGAUUUAACUAUUUUCUAUUUUUAUUAUUAAAUAAAUAUGUCUUUAAGCUACAUAUUAUUGUAAAUAUUAACUAUCUAAUACCAUAGAUGUUAUGGUUAUCAAUAAAAUAAAUUAUGGACUUUAAAUUUUAUAAAAUAGAUAAAUAUAAAUAGAUAUGUAACAUUAUGUCAUCACUUUCUAGGGUUAUUUGAUGUUUUUCUUCCGUUGCAAUAUUACCAAAUUGAGGAAAAGCAAUUUAUAUACCUAUCUAUAAAGAGCGAAAAUUUCAGUUUGCCAAAUAUUUUCUUCUGCCCCUAAUCCUGUCCGUGUUCGGUUUACUGAUCGCCUCCUCCGUCCAACGUUUCUAGAAGGGCAAAAAUAAAAUAAAAAACAUUCUAGAGUUCCUAAUGCAAAAUCUUAUAUUAGUCCGCUCUCGCCUCUGUAGGCCCUAUCAGCCCAGCGAUGGAAGGUAGAAAAAAAUAAAAAAUUUUCUAGAGUUCCCAAUAUAAAAUCUUCAAUUUACUUUUAUUUUAUUUUUUAAAUCGGCUGAGAAUUAAUAAAUACAUAGUAAUUCAUUUAUUUUAUUUUUUAAAUCGGCUGAGAAUUAAUAAAUACAUAAUAAUUCAUAGAAAAAUCUAAAAAUUAUAAAACAAAUUUUGUUCAGCUCUACAUAUGUAGAUCCAUGCAGUAAAUAAAAAAUAUCACAAAUUUUAGUACACUUUUUUUGAAAAUGCUUGCCUAUGCUUUUUACUCUAAAAUUAAAAUUGUAGUUAUCUUGCUCCAAUUAUUAUAAAAAUUUAAUGGUAGCCUAUUUAAUGUGAUGCUUGAUUCAUAUUUCAUAGCAAUCCUAAUCUAAAUUAAAAAAAUAAUGCUAGCAUCAAACUUCUCAUGUUUUAAUAUAAUACUGAGGCAUAUUAAGAGGUAAUAUUAGAGUGAGAUAAGAUUUAACUAUUUUCUAUUUUUAUUAUUAAAUAAAUAUGUCUUUAAGCUACAUAUUAUUGUAAAUAUUAACUAUCUAAUACCAUAGAUGUUAUGGUUAUCAAUAAAAUAAAUUAUGGACUUUAAAUUUUAUAAAAUAGAUAAAUAUAAAUAGAUAUGUAACAUUAUGUCAUCACUUUCUAGGGUUAUUUGAUGUUUUUCUUCCGUUGCAAUAUUACCAAAUUGAGGAAAAGCAAUUUAUAUACCUAUCUAUAAAGAGCGAAAAUUUCAGUUUGCCAAAUAUUUUCUUCUGCCCCUAAUCCUGUCCGUGUUCGGUUUACUGAUCGCCUCCUCCGUCCAACGUUUCUAGAAGGGCAAAAAUAAAAUAAAAAACAUUCUAGAGUUCCUAAUGCAAAAUCUUAUAUUAGUCCGCUCUCGCCUCUGUAGGCCCUAUCAGCCCAGCGAUGGAAGGUAGAAAAAAAAUAAAAAAUUUUCUAGAGUUCCCAAUAUAAAAUCUUCAAUUUACUUUUAUUUUAUUUUUUAAAUCGGCUGAGAAUUAAUAAAUACAUAGUAAUUCAUUUAUUUUAUUUUUUAAAUCGGCUGAGAAUUAAUAAAUACAUAGUAAUUCAUAGAAAAAUCUAAAAAUUAUAAAACAAAUUUUGUUCAGCUCUACAUAUGUAGAUCCAUGC